CUGGGCCUCAGUCCUGGUUCUGCUCGUUAUUCGCAGGCCGGGCGGCUCGCGAGGAGAGAGAGGACGUCGCCGGAGACCUCCCUGUCUGCGCCCGCCCCGCAGAGCCCACGGCGGUCCAGGGCUCCCCCAGCGCUCCGGGCGGCGAUGAGGUCAGCUACUCCACUGUGAGCUUCGCAGAGGCGGCAGCAGGACCCCCGAGAGGACAGGGCGUCCCCAGGGAGGGCGAGACCACCGUUUACUCGGACCUCAGGACAGGGAAAUAGGAGGAGGUGGAGGUUACAUCAAGUCUCCACCGGGGGGCGCUGUGUGAUGUACCUGAGACUCCCCCACCUGCCUGAACACGAUCCACCAGGCCACAAAGAUGGACGCUCAGAGCACAGCAGCAGAGCUCUGUCGCUGUUGCUUAACAGCACGGACGGUUUUGAACUCAAAAGAGCUUAAAACCUGUGGGGGAUAUUAAUUCAGACCCCCCGUCUCGAACGUUUCCUGUACAGCUUAGUCAUGAACCAGUAGGUGUCUUUACUGACCAGUUGUUCCACUGUACAAGGUGGUUUUCACGAGUUAAGGGCUUCUCAAGAAACGCGCUGGCGUCUUUCCUCAAUCAGUAUUGUGUCCGAUAUUCACUGCACUGAAAAAUGACUUUACUGCGUAUUCACCGACACCGUCUGUUUCCGGAAUACGCAGUCCCGUUUAUCCUCUAAAAAGACCUGACGUUGCUAUACAACCUGAGGAUCGUUUCCCUGGAGGAGGAGGAGGAGGAGUGUCAUCGGAGAGGAGGGACACGGGACUGGCGAGCUGUUUAAUUGAGGGGCGGAAGUGGACUCUCCUGUUUAAUUGACGAGCGGAAGUGGACUCGCCUGUUUAAUUGACUAGCGGAAGUGGACUCGCAUGUUUUACUGAGGGGCGGAAGUGGACUCGCCUGUUUUAUUGAGGGGCGGAAGUGGACUCACCUGGUUAAUUGACGAGCGGAAGUGGACUCGCCUGUUUAAUUGAGGGGCGGAAGUGGACUCACCUGGUUAAUUGACGACCGGAAGGGCGCUCGACGCCGCUUCGUCUGCAAGCUGAACAAACGAGUAUCGUUGUCCUUCUCUCCUCGGAUAUUCACUGUGCCCGUCAGUAAGAAAUAGUUUUUACUUCUCGAAUAGUUGUGUGUACGUGUUUGCCUGACUGUUUAUUCAGUGAAAUCGCGAGGUUCUGAAGCCAGACGGAGUUUUUCCUCAUUAACUUAGAUUCCCCGUGCAGGUUGUGAAUUGUACGUCUAGUCAUGAAACCCGACAGCGUUUUCCCUGAAUCAUCGUUAUAUCCUCGCUGUGCUGGCUGUUCAUUUAAAUGUCUAAUUUCGCUACACCAGGCAGUGCUUUUUGUGAAUAAUCUUGGUAUACGUUCACUGUACUCGUUGUUAAAUGUGCUGUCUAGUCACUUAACCGGACGGAGUUGGUUCCUAUUAAUUAUUUGAUAUAUUUUUUCCUACGGUCCGUUAGUUAAUUACCGUGACUAAGUUUUUCAGUAAUUAUCUUGUGUAUUCCCCGUGCUGGGUGUUAAUUUGACUGUGUAGUCACAGAACCAGAAGGUGUUUUCCAUUAAUACUUAUGUCUUCCCCCUUCUGUUUAUACAUUUUAAUUUAUACUCAUUAAACAGGGCAGUGAUUUUCCAGAAUUAUUAUCGUAUAUAUUCACCGUACCGGGUGUUAAUGACGCUGUCUAAUCACUAACCCAGACGGUGUUUUUCCUGAAUAAUUGUUUUACGUUUGCGGUACCUGUCCUUAAUAUUACUGUUUAGUAACCAAACCGUGCAGAAUGUCUUCUUACUAAUUUUCUUAUAUAUUCAGUGUUCUGGUUGUUAAUUAUACUGUCUAAUCACUGAACCAGAUGUUAUUACUGAAUAUCUAUGCGACAUUUUUCCUGUACUGGUUUUUAAUUUUAAUUUCUAGUGACUAAACCGGACAGUUUUCCCUUGUUGAUUGUCUUGUAUCUUCACCGUGCUGCUUGUUAAUUUUACUGUGUUUUCACAGUGCCAUACAGUGUUUUUUUAGGAAUAAUUGUGUUAUCUUCACUGUACUGUUUGUUAAUCUUGAAUUAGUCAUUAAACCAGACAGUAUUUGUCUAGAAUAAUUGUUAUUUUCAUCGCACUGGUUGUUAAUUAUACUGACUAGUCACUAAAUCAGACGGAGGUUUUCAUUAAUAUUAUUCUGAUUUACGUGAUAUAUUCCCUGUACUGGUUGUUAAUUUUCAUGUCUAGUCACUAAACCGGGCAGAGUUUUUUCUUAUUAAUUAUGUUCUAUAUUCACGGUACUGGUUAUUAAUUUUACUGACAGUCACUAAAUCAGACGGAGGUUUUCAUUAAUAUUAUUCCUGAUUAUUUACGUGAUAUAUUCCCUGUACUGGUUGUUAAUUUUCAUUUCUAGUCACUAAACCGGACAGAGUUUUUUCUUAUUAUGUUCUAUAUUCAUGGUACUGGUUCUUAAUUGUACUGUUUUGUCACUAAACCUUCCAGUGUUGUUAACGAAUACUUGUUCUAUAUUCACCUUCCUGGUUGUUAAUUUUAAUUUCGAGUCACUAAUCCAGACUAUAUUUUUCUUGAAUAAUUAUGAUAAAUUCGCCGUGUUCGUUGUUAAUUGUACUGUCUCGUCACUAAACCCGAUGUUUUUCAUGAAUACUUGUUAUAUAUUAACCAUACUGAGUAUUAAUUUCUAGUUCCUAAUCCGGGCAGAGAAUUUCCUAAAUAUAAUUGUUCUAUGUUCACGGUACUGGUUCUUAAUAUUACUGUUUAGUAACUAAUCCAUACAGAAGUUUUCCUUACUAAUUUUCUUAUACAGUAUAUUCGCUGAACUGUUUUUUUAUUAUACUGUCUAAUCACUGAACCAGGUGGUGUUUUUCCUGAAUAUUUCUUAAAUAUUCAUUGUGCUGGUUGUUAAUUGCACUGUCCAGUCACUGAACCAGGUAGUUUUUUAUGAAAACUAAUGUUAUAUAUUCCCUGUACUGGUCAUUCAUUCUACAGCUGUCACUAAACCAGCCAGUGUCUGCAGUGGGUGUCCACUGGGAUGGUUAUUGUCAGUGAUAAUUACACUGACAGGACAAUGGUCAGUCACUGACCAUAAUGGUUGAUAAUUGUACUUACUGUCUAGGCACUAAACCAGGUGGAAAUGUUCCUUAUUAAUUAUACUUUAUUUACUGGACUGCUUAUUAAUUAUAUUGUCUAGUCACUAAACUGAACAGUUUUUCCUUGUUAAUUAUCUUGUUUUCACUGUGCAGGUUGUUAAUUUUACUGUGUAGUCACAGGACCACAGUGUUUCUCUUGAAUACUUGGUCUACCUUCACUGUACUUUUUAUUAAUUUUGAUUUAUAGUCACUAAAGCAGGCAGUAAUUUUCCUGAAUUAUUCGCCUUACCAGUUGUUAAUUGAACUGUCUACUCGUUAAACUAGAUGGGUUUUCCUAAAUACUGACAGGUCUGAGAUAUAGUCACUGUCCUGACUGCUGAUUGUACUGGAGUCACUAAACUAGAUGGGUUUUCCUGAGUACUGACAGGUCUGUGAUAUAGUCACUGUCCUGACUGCUGAUUGUACUGGAGUCACUAAACUAGAUGGGUUUUCCUGAGUACUGACAGGUCUGUGAUAUAGUCCCUGUCCUGACUGCUGAUUGUACUGGAGUCACUAAACUAGAUGGGUUUUCGUGAAUUCUGUUGUGUAUUCACUGUACUGGUUGUUAAUUUUAAUUUCUAAUUACUAAUCCAGACAGUUUGUCCAUAUUAUUUACCUGUCAUAUUCACUGCACUGUUUAAUUGUGCUUUCUAGUCCCUCAACCUGAUGGUGUUUUUCAUGAAUACUCAAGUUCUAUAUUCACCCUGCUGGUUGUUAAUUUUAAGUCACUAAACCGGAUGGAGUUUUUCCUUAUUAAUUAUGUUCUAUAUUCACCGUGCUGGUUGUUAAUUACACUGUCCA
This is a non-coding RNA of Lepisosteus oculatus (spotted gar), 3938 nucleotides long. Lineage: Eukaryota; Metazoa; Chordata; Actinopteri; Semionotiformes; Lepisosteidae. The record is from RefSeq and is a predicted model, not a curated record.